CACUAUGUUUCUUUCACCAACCGUUCCUAUUACGGGAAAAAAUAGAAAAAGAAAGCUAAAGAAAAACAUCCCGAUCUCCAUUUUUCUCUGUGAGAAAGGCGAUUACAAUGGAGAAAAUCGGAUUCAUGUUCUUUAACGGGAUAUCUGAUUCCGUGGGCCAAGAGUAUAUCGGCAUGUUUCCUUUACGAAUCUGGAACCAAACAUGCAGAAGAUGAGUGGUUGAUUUGUGUGGUCAGAAAAUAGAAAAAUUAAAAAGUCGAUCUUCUUUUUGCUCGGGUUAAAUAGGAGGUACUUUUUGGUGAGAAUUCUCAUGUCCACCAAAUGAAAUAUAUUGAAGGUGGACUAAAACACCUACGUGGAGUGAGAAAGGAAUUCGGAAACAUGUCUGCAAAAAUAUGAUAGAAGAAAAAAAGAUAUGCGGUCGAUGAUGCAAAGACACUUUCAGUAGAGAGCUAAGUCACUAAAGUGGUGAGACGUGAGGUAACAGAAAUGAAGUUUCUCGUCAGCGGUGAACGAAACCCAAAAAAUCAAGAUCUUCGUUUAUAUUUGAUAAAUUAAGUGAAUUUAUUGGUGGAAAACGAAGAGAUUACAUGCGAUUUGAUUGACGAAACUUCGAAGCCAGAACUGAGAAACACAAGGUAUGGUAAACAGUCGAUUGUUAUGAUUUAUGAACAAAGUCCAAGUGUUUUUUAAUGGUUGCCUAACAAUGUUGUUCUCUUGCCGCUACAAUUCGUUAGUUUUUCAAUGCGUCUUCGGAUCUAUUGAUGCAAGUUUUAUUAUGAAGAUAAUGCUGCACUUAAUUAUUGUUUUUUGACAAUGGAAGAUGGGUAAUGUUGGCGGAGAGUUCGUUCUUGAUCAAUGUAAGAAGGAGAAUUCUUUUUUUUUUUGAAGACGAUAUAAGAUAUGAGGAUUUUCUCUGCAUGGUUUGUGAAGAUUACAAUAUUAGUGAGAUGAAUGCGGUCGAGUUCUCUUAUAUGUUGCCUAAACGUAUAAUGGAGCAAACGGCUACCAAUGCCUUUCCGAUUUCCUUGAGCAGCGACAUACAACUAGCAAGCUUCAUCACAUUGCUCAAGACUGACGUUAUGUGUAUUUAUGUCUCAUUGACUGCAAACAAAGGUCGUCGUGAUGUGAAUAGAAAUCAAAAGCUUGCUGUCGGAGAGAAUGCUGCUACGGAUUUUGGUAGUUUUGGAAAUGUUCAGUACAAGAUUAUGAAG
Raphanus sativus (radish) is the source of this 1214-nucleotide long non-coding RNA. RefSeq lists it as uncharacterized. Lineage: Eukaryota; Viridiplantae; Streptophyta; Magnoliopsida; Brassicales; Brassicaceae. The record is from RefSeq and is a predicted model, not a curated record. The transcript is spliced from 5 exons.